UUUUUUUGUAGUUGUAGUCUUUUUGUGCGUAUGAUCGAGGUCAUGAACCGUUCAGUUCACUUUAAGAUCGAUUUCCUGCUAAAGUUCAUUUCAUCUCGCCGAUGGUGCAGAUACGCCGCCUCUGUGGCCUCGUCCCAAACCGCUGUCCGCCCUGCAUGCUCACUUCGUCCCUGUUUAGCGUUGGAAAAUAAUGAAUUCAUUAAUCAAUCAGAUGAAAAACAGUAGAAGACUGCUGUCAUUAUGCUGCAGGAUGUAACUGGCUGGAUCUAGGGUGCUCUCGAGCCAGGCAGCGCGCUAAAUGCAGAUAAAUGAAAUGCCAGAGGACGUGACGUUACUUUUAAACAUCCAUGAUACAGUGCAGUGUGUGUGUGUGCUCAACAUACUGCAAUCUACUGUAUAACUGAAUUAUUCCUCCAUGCCCAGUUUAGACAUAUAGACAUAUAGUUUGGGGAUUUUAGGACGUGUCCUGUCUGUAUAGACUUGGCAUACAAUUGGGUGGUCUCCUGUAACAUUUCAUGUUUAAAUUUUCAAAAUGUAAAUUCUGUUACGGUAUAGUCAAAAAAAACAAACAAUUACAGUCUGUCCCCGAGUCUUAUUUCUACAGACCCCUACAGGUAACAUCCCUACUUUAAUAAAAACUAAUGCAUGGCCAUGACUUAGUAAAGAAGUGUGAACAGGAAUCAUGACUUAAUAACACGGGGGAACGAGAUGAUCUACGUAAGUGUAACCACAACUUAACGCAUGAGAACGAGCUGUAAUUAAAUGUGGACACUGCUUAGUAAUGCAAGCAAAUGGGAUAAUUAUGCACGUGUAGCCAAAAGGAAUAACAUGUGGGAACAAGAUAAUUAAGUGAAGCCGUGAAUCAAUAACACGAUGAUUACACGUGGACAUUACAUGAGAAAACGAGAGAAUUAAACGUGGCCAUGACUCUAAUGCGACGGAACGAGAGAAUCAAACGCGGCCAUGACUCUGUAACGCGACGGAACGAGAGAAUCAAACGCGGCCAUGACUCUGUAACGCGACGGAACGAGAGAAUCAAACGUGGCCAUGACUCUAAUGCGACGGAACGAGAGAAUCAAACGCGGCCAUGACUCUGUAACGCGACGGAACGAGAGAAUCAAACGCGGCCAUGACUCUGUAACGCGACGGAACGAGAGAAUCAAACGCGGCCAUGACUCUGUAACGCGACGGAACGAGAGAAUCAAACGCGGCCAUGACUCUGUAACGCGACGGAACGAGAGAAUCAAACGCGGCCAUGACUCUGUAACGCGACGGAACGAGAGAAUCAAACGCGGCCAUGACUCUGUAACGCGACGGAACGAGAGAAUCAAACGCGGCCAUGACUCUGUAACGCGACGGAACGAGAGAAUCAAACGCGGCGGUGACUCUAACGCGACGGAACGAGAGAAUCAAACGCGGCCAUGACUCUGUAACGCGACCCCCCCCCCCCCCGUUCAGUUGCACCAGCAGGUUAAUGUAUUUCUUUUUAAUAAUAUUGUAAUAUGAGGACAUUUAGAUUAACUAGAAAGUAGAAGUCAGGAGCAGACCUGAAUUUCUCCCGCUACUUUAACUUUCAAGGCUCUCUCAGACGUGUAUUAAAACAGUCCUGUCAUUAAUAACCUUGGCGUGAACAAGGCCAGGAGUAAGAUUAGAAAACCCUGGCAAAAUGGGACGCGACCCAGAGACAUCAGGUGUGUUUGAUUCCUCAUUAAUACACUAAAACUCAUCAGAUGGACACUCGCACCAUCUUACAGAUCCCGUCAGACCUGAGACGUGUCUCAGAUCUUAUAAGAGUGUUCAGAUCGUCAUUUUAUAUUUAUAUUGUCAUUGGGUAUUUACUUAUUCAGGGGGGGAAAUUUGGUUCCGUGAACCAUGACUGUAUGUGGAAGAUUAAAUAAAAAAAAAAAGUAACAUGAAAUGAAUAAAAUUUGACUCAAAGAUCAGAAA
Molecule: long non-coding RNA, 1947 nt
Organism: Ictalurus punctatus (channel catfish)
Lineage: Eukaryota; Metazoa; Chordata; Actinopteri; Siluriformes; Ictaluridae
Source: Ensembl